RNAcentral lists this ribosomal RNA (406 nucleotides) under 'Datura stramonium' phytoplasma. Its description in RNAcentral is "bacterial SSU rRNA". It matches the Rfam family "Bacterial small subunit ribosomal RNA", at positions 276 to 683 of the family's 1533-position model. The record is from RNAcentral. Lineage: Bacteria; Bacillati; Mycoplasmatota; Mollicutes; Acholeplasmatales; Acholeplasmataceae.
AUGAUGUGUAGCCGGGCUGAGAGGUUGAACGGCCACAUUGGGACUGAGACACGGCCCAAACUCCUACGGGAGGCAGCAGUAGGGAAUUUUCGGCAAUGGAGGAAACUCUGACCGAGCAACGCCGCGUGAACGAUGAAGUAUUUCGGUACGUAAAGUUCUUUUAUAGGGAAGAAUAAAUGAUGGAAAAAUCAUUCUGACGGUACCUAAUGAAUAAGCCCCGGCUAACUAUGUGCCAGCAGCGCGGUAAUACAUAGGGGGCAAGCGUUAUCCGGAAUUAUUGGGCGUAAAGGGUGCGUAGGCGGUUAAAUAAGUUUAUGGUCUAAGUGCAAUGCUCAACAUUGUGAUGCUAUAAAAACUGUUUAGCUAGAGUAAGAUAGAGGCAAGUGGAAUUCCAUGUGUAGUGGUA